Molecule: ribosomal RNA, 238 nt
Filed under: uncultured bacterium
Lineage: Bacteria
Description: partial 16S ribosomal RNA
Rfam family: Bacterial small subunit ribosomal RNA
Source: RNAcentral
GCAAGUCGAGCGGUAGAAAGUAUUAGCUUGCUAAUGUUUUUGAGAGCGGCGAACGGGUGAGUAACACGUUGGUAUCUGCCCCCAAGUCAGGGAUAGCCAUUGGAAACGAUGAUUAAUACCGGAUAGUCUCUUCGGAGUAAAGAUUUAUUGCUUGGGGAGGAACCUGCGUUCUAUCAGCUAGUUGGUGAGGUAAUGGCUCACCAAGACUAUGACGCCUAGCUGGUCUGAGAGGAUGAUC